Molecule: ribosomal RNA, 465 nt
Filed under: uncultured bacterium
Lineage: Bacteria
Description: partial 16S ribosomal RNA
Rfam family: Bacterial small subunit ribosomal RNA
Source: RNAcentral
CCUACGUGUGGCAGCAGUAGGGAAUCUUCCACAAUGGGCGAAAGCCUGAUGGAGCAACGCCGCGUGAGUGAAGAAGGUCUUCGGAUCGUAAAACCCUGUUGUUAGAGAAGAAAGUGCGUGAGAGUAACUGUUCACGUUUCGACGGUAUCUAACCAGAAAGCCACGGCUCACUACGUGCCAGCAGCCGCGGUAAUACGUAGGUGGCAAGCGUUGUCCGGAUUUAUUGGGCGUAAAGGGAACGCAGGCGGUCUUUUAAGUCUGAUGUGAAAGCCUUCGGCUUAACCGGGGUAGUGCAUUGGAAACUGGGAGACUUGAGUGCAGAAGAGGGGAGUGGAAUGCAAUGUGUAGCGGUGAAAUGCGUAGAUAUAUGGAAGAACACCAGUGGCGAAAGCGGCUCUCGGGUCUGUAACUGACGCUGAGGUUCGAAAGCGUGGGUAGCAAACAGGAUUAGAUACCCGGGUAGUC